UACGUAGGGUGCAAGCGUUAAUCGGAAUUACUGGGCGUAAAGGGUACGCAGGCGGCUAGGAAAGAAGGAUGUGAAAUCCCAGGGCUCAACCUUGGAACUGCAUUCUUAACUGCCUAGCUAGAGUAUGUCAGAGGGGGGUAGAAUUCCACGUGUAGCAGUGAAAUGCGUAGAUAUGUGGAGGAAUACCGAUGGCGAAGGCAGCCCCCUGGGAUAAUACUGACGCUCAGGUACGAAAGCGUGGGGAGCAAACAGG
Molecule: ribosomal RNA, 253 nt
Filed under: uncultured bacterium
Lineage: Bacteria
Also listed under: 1 other name
Description: partial 16S ribosomal RNA
Rfam family: Bacterial small subunit ribosomal RNA
Source: RNAcentral